This 1555-nucleotide long non-coding RNA is filed under the name Homo sapiens (human). RNAcentral's name for it is "long non-coding RNA NONHSAT181701.1". Lineage: Eukaryota; Metazoa; Chordata; Mammalia; Primates; Hominidae. The record is from RNAcentral.
CCACUGGACUCCAGCCUGGGCAACAGAGUGAGGUGCCACUCUCUAAAACAAAAAUAAAAAUCCUUCCUAGGUCCCACUUUCCCCUCAGCUCCUGCUCCAUCUCUCUGCUUGCCUUUAGAGCUAAACUAGCAGUUAGCCAGGUCCUACUUUCUCCACAUACUGGCUUGUGGGCCUUCAGGGUUAGCGCUGUGAGCUGGGUGUCAUGGGCCUUAACGCUGACUCAUAAUGUGAGCCAGUGCUUCCCAUAUUACAGCUAGGGGUGCCAGGGGCCUGAUGAAUUGGGGUCAUUUGGUUAUGUGUCAGUCCUUUUCACCUCUGGCUAUGAACUCCUUGCCUGGGGCCUUGCUCUGCUCAUCUCUGCAUGCCCAUUAUCUAGGACAUUGCCAGAGACGUAGUAGGAGCAAAAUCAGUAUCUGCUGAGUACAUGACCAAACACGUAGAUGAAUUUCAGGCCCAGUUCAAAGUGUCUGACCACUUCGGUCACACAGGCCUUGCCUUCCUCUGAACUUCUGGAGCACUUCUUGCCCUGGCUAGGUAGGUGACACUUAGCCACAGUUCCGUGUCACAUUUUCCCUAUUCCUAUGUGGCUGUUUAUCUCCAAUGGUGUACUAACUCGCAGGCGCCAGGCUUAGCCUUCCUGGAUAAAGCUCGCUAGUGCCUUGUAGGCAGCCUGUGCCUUCCACGGCAUCGACAGCAGUCAAUAAAUAUAUGUGGAAUGGCGGAAUGCAUCCGUCCACUGAUAUAAAUUGUGAAAUAUUCUAAUUGGUACACUCUUCCAGGUACUGUGGGCCAUUCCAACAAAAGACAUGGCUAUUUCUUGUAGGAGUUUGCACAAUAAAAGAAUGAGAGGUUGGAUAAAGAAUGACAGAGGCCUAUUGUUGCCACAUAGGAGCCCACCUUUUUUUUUUUUUAAUUUUACUUGAAGUUCUGGGAUACACGUGCAGAACGUGCAGGUUUGUUACAUAGGUAUACGUGUGCCAUGGUGGUUUGCUGCACCUGUCAACACAUCUUCUAGGUUUUAAGCCUCACGUGCAUUAGCUAUUUGUCCUGAUGCUCUCCCUCUCCUUCCCCUGACCUGACAGGUCCCGGUGUGUGAUGUUCCCCUCCCUGUGUCCAUGUGUUCUUAUUGUUCAGCUCCCACUUAUGAGUGAGAACAUGCGAUAUUUGGUUUUCUGUUCCUGUGGUAGUUUGCUGAGGAUGGUGAGGAUUCCACCUUUUGACCUAUCCCAGGGCUCAGGAAAAACAGAUAUUUGGGGCUCUGGGGAGAGCCAGCAGCCUGCAGUGAAAAAUCAUUGAACAAUGCUUGGGAGAUGGGCUCAUCAGGCUUCCUGGUAUAUCUUGGAAAUAUAAUAAAUCUGACCCCAGAAUACAUCACUUGGAUGGGCCUGCUUUUAGCGCAUUCCCCUAAAAUGUCUUUUCCUCCUGUGAUUGCAAUGUUUGGUUGUGGUUAUAACAGCAGAUUUCCCACCAAAGAAACAUUUCAGUCCUUGCCGGAUGAGGUUGGUUGUCUCUAAUUUCCUCUCUUAAAAUGCUACCCUCUCCACCUGUGACUGCC